UUGGAGGGACUGGGCCCAGCCUUGCUUGGACAGGAUCCUUGCUGUGGUUCCUCAGGAGAACCUCCAUCCUUCUCUGAACUCCAUUACCAGCAUGCUUCUGCUUAGGCAGAGCUAACAGCAAGGAUGCCUGAGAGGCAGGCAUUUUGAAUCCUGUGGCAGCCGGGGCUCCCAGUCCAGUCUGUCUGCUCUGAACUUAACUCCAGGGCCCUGCCGACAGCUGGCAACAUUCCUGUGGCUUCUCUUAAGUAGGCGUUUGUGUCCCAAACUCCUGGAAGUCAGACUGGACUCCUAGAUUUGGGGAGGAAGUCUGUACCUCCUGCAUCCUGGAAGGGGCUGCAACCAUCUCUUAGCUUCUGGGAGCUAAAAGGCAGGUUGGGAGUCAAAAGAGCAGUGUACACUAACAAACUCUUUCCAGGCUGAACCUGGGAGAGACAGACAGGGAGACCUUCCAGGGAGAGGGGAAAGACCUAGGACAGCUGACAGAAUUCUCAGUGGCCAUGAGGUUAGCCAAGAGAUGACAAAUGCCAAAGUGCUCCCCAGUAACAGAUAGGGAAGAGAUGGUCCUUUAGGUGACUGAUAAAGUCCCUAAAACUGCACAACCUGGAGCCAAAUGUGGACAGUUUAGAGCUGUCUCCAGCAAAGCUUCUUGUCCCUUUAGCCCAGUCCCUUUGGGACCCUCUCCUCUGUGCUGGGGAGGAGGUAGCCUGCCUGUGUAGAGCUGCUGGAGGAGAUUGCUUUGUGGAGCAUGCAUGUGGAGGUCAGAGGGCAGUCGCCGUCCAUAUUUAAGAGAGGAACCUUUUCAAUGCUGUUUGCUGCGGUGUGUGCCAGGCUGGGUGGCCUUUGAGCUUCUUCACCUCCUAGCUGGCUGUAGAAGCACAGGGAGGCAACCUCUCAGCUUUGGAUGAGUUCUAGAUCCUGAGUUGGGUUUGUUUUGAGACAGGCUUCACACUAUAGCCCAGGUGGCCUGAAAUUUGCUAUAUAUAUAUAGUCCAGGAUGGCCCCGAACGCUAGGCAGUCCUCCUGCCUCAGCUUCCCAAGUGCUGGAAUUACAGCCAUGUACCACCACGGUUGGCCUCACAGGACCUUUUUGCAAUGGAGGACUGGGCCAGAAGUCACUGUGGAGUUGUCCAGUUUUGGCCCAGCUCUCUGCCCGAGAUCUAAGCCAGAUGGUAGUCAUGGACAGGGACCUGGGUAGAUGUGGCCAGUAGGCAGUACAUAGUAAGCAGCCCUGACUAGGACAGACUUGAGGGCCUUGAACAAGACUCUGCUAGCACUCCAUACCUCCCAGCUCCCCUCCUCCACCCCCCAGCAGACUCUUCUCAGCCUUGGCUAUGGCCAAAAGUUUAUUUCUCCCAUCAAAUGAAAGUCGCAGAACUACAAGUGUGUUAGUUUGUCUUUGCUUUCAUGGCGGUUGGCACAAGAUGAUGUUUGGUGAGGGGACAGGGGAGGACUGAUAGUGUGUGUGAACACACAGUGGGUCUUGUGUGAGCAACUGGCUGGAGCCAUGUCACAGUUGUGUGAUGUCCCAGUGUUGGCUUUUACUCUGCCAGCUGGGUAGUACCAAAACCUGCCCUGGCUGGUGGAAGAGGGAUCCGAUUGAUUCUGUCCCAGAAGCAUCCUGUAUUUAGGCUGCUCAGAUAGGGAAGUGCAGCUCAUCCAUAGCUGGCAGGUUCUCAAAUCCCUCAAGGAUGACAAGACUUGUAAGGAGGGAGGUGUCAGGAGAAGACAGCCCUAGCAUAGCCAGCUGUGUACAGGACCUUAGGAUCCCAAGACAUGUCAAACCAAGAAGAGAGGCUCCAUGGGGCCAGUGAAGCUGUGAACACUUUCCAGAAGCCAAUCUGCAACCCUGCUCAAGUUAGCCUUAGGGUAAGGGGUUUUGUUCACUUGGCUGACAGUCAGGGCUGUGGCUAGCAGAACCUUUCCAGGGGCCUGCAGGUGCUCCUUUUGGGGACCUGCAAUCAGUGGGCUAUAUUAAGCCAAGAAUCUCAGUUGGCAGAGUUCAGAAGGGCUAAGGUGGAGCCUCCCUGGAGCAGAGCCUUUAUUGCAGAGAUACAGAAAGAGUACCUACAACAGGAGUCAUGAAAAGUCAUGUUUGUUAUUUC
This 2102-nucleotide long non-coding RNA is filed under the name Mus musculus (house mouse). RNAcentral describes it as "long non-coding RNA chr11:105289389-105291491". Lineage: Eukaryota; Metazoa; Chordata; Mammalia; Rodentia; Muridae. The record is from RNAcentral.